UAGGGAAUAUUAGAAAUGGACGCAAGUCUGAUCUAGCAACACCGCGUGUGCGAAGAAGGCCUUCGGGUCGUAAAGCACUUUUUGGAAGGAAUAGGAAGGAAUGUACUUCCAGAAUAAGUCUCGGCUAACUACGUGCCAGCAGCCGCGGUAACACGUAGGAGGCGAACGUUAUCCGGAUUUACUGGGCGUAAAGCGCGUGUAGGUGGUUCUGUAAGUAGGGCGUGAAAGCUCCUGGCUCAACUGGGAGAGGCCGUUCUAAACUACAGAACUAGAGGAUGGUAGAGGGAGGUGGAAUUCCAGGUGUAGCGGUGGAACGCGCAGAUAUCUGGAGGAACACCAGUGGCGAAGGCGGCCUCCUGGACCAUUCCUGACACUCAGACGCGAAAGCUAGGGUAGCAAACG
RNAcentral lists this ribosomal RNA (402 nucleotides) under uncultured prokaryote. RNAcentral's name for it is "bacterial SSU rRNA". It matches the Rfam family "Bacterial small subunit ribosomal RNA", at positions 355 to 774 of the family's 1533-position model. The record is from RNAcentral.